Molecule: transfer RNA, 73 nt
Filed under: Myxococcales bacterium
Lineage: Bacteria; Pseudomonadati; Myxococcota; Myxococcia; Myxococcales
Description: tRNA-Trp
Rfam family: tRNA
About the family: Transfer RNA (tRNA) molecules are approximately 80 nucleotides in length. Their secondary structure includes four short double-helical elements and three loops (D, anti-codon, and T loops). Further hydrogen bonds mediate the characteristic L-shaped molecular structure. tRNAs have two regions of fundamental functional importance: the anti-codon, which is responsible for specific mRNA codon recognition, and the 3' end, to which the tRNAs corresponding amino acid is attached (by aminoacyl-tRNA synthetases). tRNAs cope with the degeneracy of the genetic code in two manners: having more than one tRNA (with a specific anti-codon) for a particular amino acid; and 'wobble' base-pairing, i.e. permitting non-standard base-pairing at the 3rd anti-codon position.
Source: RNAcentral
AGGCCAGUAGCGCAAUUGGCAGCGCAGCGGUCUCCAAAACCGCGGGUUGGGGGUUCGAGUCCCUCCUGGCCUG